CUAGCCGUAAACGAUGGGUACUAGGUGUAGGGGGUUUCGAUACCUUCUGUGCCGGAGUUAACGCAAUAAGUACCCCGCCUGGGGAGUACGUGCGCAAGCAUGAAACUCAAAGGAAUUGACGGGGGCCCGCACAAGCGGUGGAGCAUGUGGUUUAAUUCGAAGCAACGCGAAGAACCUUACCAGGUCUUGACAUCCCUUGACAGCUGUAGAGAUACAGUAUUUCUUCGGAACAAGGAGACAGGUGG
RNAcentral lists this ribosomal RNA (245 nucleotides) under uncultured Bacillota bacterium. Its description in RNAcentral is "uncultured Firmicutes bacterium partial 16S ribosomal RNA". It matches the Rfam family "Bacterial small subunit ribosomal RNA", at positions 796 to 1041 of the family's 1533-position model. The record is from RNAcentral. Lineage: Bacteria; Bacillati; Bacillota.